GGCUGACUGCCACUGGAGAAGGAUCUUUUUCUAGAGAUUGCUCCUCUGGGAGUUUUUCCUGCAAGCUCGUAAUAUGGAAGGGGUGGAGCCACCCUGUGAUCAUGUAAGUGCUAGCCAUUGGUUGGAGAGCUUCUUUUGGACCUGGGCUAAUUCCUGAAAGGCUUUGCUGCAUAACCAGAGAUCCCCUUCAGCAGUUUGGUUUCUUAUAUGCUUGGUGGAAGAGGCAGUAAACCUGCUGGCUGGCAGAAGAGGGUACAAUGAGGCUACUUAAUGGAUUUUUAGGCUUGAUCCAGUUUAUGAAGAGAUCUAGUGCUCAGCUGUUUCAUCUCCUUAGUUACCAGUUCUUCUCAUAGAUGAGAACAACACUAGAGAUAAAGAGAAUGGAGUGAAAAACAGUAAAGAG
This is a long non-coding RNA of Gallus gallus (chicken), 403 nucleotides long. The record is from Ensembl. NCBI's taxonomy places the organism in Eukaryota, Metazoa, Chordata, Aves, Galliformes, Phasianidae.